AUUGAACGCUGGCGGCAUGCCUUACACAUGCAAGUCGAACGGCAGCACGGGUGCUUGCACCUGGUGGCGAGUGGCGAACGGGCGAGUAAUACAUCGGAACGUACCUUAUCGUGGGGGAUAACGCAGCGAAAGCUGUGCUAAUACCGCAUACCGCAUGAGGGGGAAAGCGGGGGAUCGAACGACUUCGCGCGAUUAGAGCGGCCGAUGCCUGAUUAGCUUGUUGGUGGGGUAAAAGCCCACCAAGGCGACGAUCAGUAGCUGGUCUGAGAGGACGAUCAGCCACACUGGGACUGAGACACGGCCCAGACUCCUACGGGAGGCAGCAGUGGGGAAUUUUGGACAACGGGGGCAACCCUGAUCCAGCAAUGCCGCGUGAGUGAAGAAGGCCUUCGGGUUGUAAAGCUCUUUUGUCAGGGAAGAAACACCGGCUCUAACACAGUCCGGGAAUGACGGUACCUGAAGAAUAAGCACCGGCUAACUACGUGCCAGCAGCCGCCGUAA
RNAcentral lists this ribosomal RNA (501 nucleotides) under uncultured bacterium. RNAcentral's name for it is "partial 16S ribosomal RNA". It matches the Rfam family "Bacterial small subunit ribosomal RNA", at positions 29 to 523 of the family's 1533-position model. The record is from RNAcentral.